RNAcentral lists this ribosomal RNA (316 nucleotides) under uncultured bacterium. RNAcentral describes it as "bacterial SSU rRNA". It matches the Rfam family "Bacterial small subunit ribosomal RNA", at positions 8 to 349 of the family's 1533-position model. The record is from RNAcentral.
AGAGUUUGAUCCUGGCUCAGGGUUAACGCUGGCGGUAUGUCUAAUACAUGCAAGUCGCGCGAGGUUUCGAACCGAGCGGCGGACGGCUGAGUAACACGUUGGAUACCUGCCCCAGACUCAGGGAUAACAUCUAGAAAUAGGUGCUAAUACCGGAUAGUCCCGCAAGGGUAAAGCUUUUGCGGUCUGGGAGGGUCCUGCGGCCUAUCAGCUUGUUGGUGAGGUAGUGGCUCACCAAGGCGAUGACGGGUAGCUGGUCUGAGAGGAUGAUCAGCCAGAAUGGGACUGAGACACGGCCCAUACNCCUACUACGGGUGGC